RNAcentral lists this ribosomal RNA (393 nucleotides) under uncultured bacterium. Its description in RNAcentral is "bacterial SSU rRNA". It matches the Rfam family "Bacterial small subunit ribosomal RNA", at positions 958 to 1352 of the family's 1533-position model. The record is from RNAcentral.
AACGCGAAGAACCUUACCAGAGCUUGACAUCUCUCUGCAUAGUCCGUAAUGGGAUGAAGUCCUUCGGGACGGGGAGACAGGUGGUGCAUGGUUGUCGUCAGCUCGUGUCGUGAGAUGUUGGGUUAAGUCCCGCAACGAGCGCAACCCUUAUACUUAGUUGCCAUCAUUAAGUUGGGCACUCUAAGUAGACUGCCGGAGACAAUUCGGAGGAAGGUGGGGAUGACGUCAAAUCAUCAUGCCCCUUAUGUUCUGGGCUACACACGUGCUACAAUGGGUACAACAACGGGAAGCAAGCCAGUGAUGGUGAGCAAAUCCCUAAAAAGUACUCCCAGUUCGGAUUGUUCUCUGCAACUCGAGAACAUGAAGCCGGAGUUGCUAGUAAUCGCGAAUCAG